UUAUUGUUCCCAACAACUUAAUAGCUAUUGGUAAAGUUAAAUAAUACUGGUGCUACUUCCUGUAAACACCAUCUAAUUUUAUUUUAAGUUAUACCUGUCAUUUUCUUAUCCACCGAAAAGGAAAGGGACGGGUAAUCGACAGGCGUAAAAUUUAUAAACACACGUCAAUAUUAAACACAAAUCUAAAACAACCGUCUAAUUUUUUUUACACUGGUCGAUAACCCAACAGAAUUAUGUUGACAGCUCACGUCAAAUGGUUUGCAUACCAGCGAGAUACCUUUUUGAUUCGCCUGGGUUAUUCACUCAUUUACUUGUUCUUUUUAAAAUUAAGAGCUGUCAAUCACCCGUCCCUUUCCUUUUCGGCGGAUAAGAAUAUGACAGGUAUAACUUAAAAUCAAAUUAGAUGGCGUCUGCAGGAAUUAGCACCAUUAGGAGAUUAACGAUUUUAAAGCACUGCCUGUACAGUCAUGAGCAAUAUAAUGUACCCAAUUUAGGACUCUGUCGCACUAACAUAUUUGACAUUUAGUGAGGACAACUUACAGUUCAAAUUGUCAAAAAAGUUAAUGUGACAUGGUACCAAAGUGUAUACAUAAUUAUUAAUGCUCGUGACCGUACUUGCAAUAGGUACAACUGUGUGUAUGUGUGAAGUUCGGAUUUAAACGAAUCUUAUUUAUCUGAUAACAGGAAGUAAUAAAUUUACAGUUUCAUCAUA
Pectinophora gossypiella (pink bollworm) is the source of this 712-nucleotide long non-coding RNA. RefSeq lists it as uncharacterized. The record is from RefSeq and is a predicted model, not a curated record. NCBI's taxonomy places the organism in Eukaryota, Metazoa, Arthropoda, Insecta, Lepidoptera, Gelechiidae. The transcript is spliced from 2 exons.